GUCGUUUAGUCGUGUCCGACUCUUCGUGACCCCAUGGACCAGAGCACGCCAGGCACUUCUGUCUUCCACUGCCUCCCGCAGUUUGGUCAAACUCAUGCUGGUAGCUUCAAGAACACUGUCCAACCAUCUCAUCCUCUGUCGUCCCCUUCUCCUUGUGCCCUCCAUCUUUCCCAACAUCAGGGUCUUUUCCAGGGAGUCUUCUCUUCUCAAGAGGUGGCCAAAGUAUUGGAGCCUCAGCUUCAGGAUCUGUCCUUCCAGUGAGCACUCAGGGCUGAUUUCCUUAAGAAUGGAUAGGUUUGAUCUUCUUGCAGUCCAUGGGACUCUCAAGAGUCUCCUCCAGCACCAUAACUAACCAGCACCAGCAACCUUACUAACUUAGCGUAAAUAAAGGAACAGAAGGAACAUUUGUAGGUGUCAGGCAUCAAAGGAUCCAAACCCCACGGUAGUUGCCAGGAAUGGAUAAGACAAGGAAAGUUCUUACCAACAGUUAUUUAUGUUUAUGGAAGCUUUUCACGUUUGAUGUUUUAUCGUGUUUUUAAUAUACUUUUGGGAGCCGCCCAGAGUAGCUGGGGAAACCCAGCCAGAUGGGUGGGGUAAAAUAAAAUAAAAAUAAUAAUUAUUAUUAUUUAAUAUUCACAGAGGAAGGUUUAGAUAUGCAGCUUCUUGGAAUAAUGGUGUUGCUCCAAGUCAAUCUCCACCCCACCCCCCUUUUCUCCCUCUUCCUUAUUCUUCACCAGCACCACCCACCUUACGGUUGCUGCUUAGGACCAUCUGUCUCUGAGUCCUUUGCUCUCCUGCUUUUAAGGCUUGCCAGGUUCUGGGAGAUGGUGGGUCUGGAAUGCUUUCUAGUAAUAACAUGUCAGCCAACUGCUCUGGCUCUGCCUGCUCCUCCUCUCCCAUUAUUUCCCAACUUUCCCCCUCAUCUUCCUAUGAGCUGUGACCUCCCUCAAACCCCUGUUGUAAUUCUGAACUGUCUUCUUCUUCUCUGGAAGGGUCAGGCUGGCGAGGUGGUCUCCACCAUUCUUCCUCUGCCCAGUCCCUGACAUCAGGGGAGAAUUGGUGAGUGCAGAGUGCUGAGAUGCGACUCUUACCUUCAUAGAAUAGACUACAUUCUAGCCACACAAAAGGUCAGAGAUUUUUAUGUCCUUAUGUAUCUUUUCCAUCAGGACAGGUAAAGAGAAUUAUUACCUGAUAUACCCCAGCAGAGCAAAAAACCCUUGAGGAACGUGGGGUGCAGGGCCAGUGACCCAUGCACACUGGGAGAAGAGGCAUGGUCUGGGAAGAAUUUCAGGGGCCAGAGACAAUACACUAUAGUAAGAUAAUUGUAUAACACUUGAUUAAAACAAACAAAAAACCCUGUGACACCUCCUUUUUUACUUUAUUUUGGCUUUGAUAAACCUACACAAACAUGCAACUGAAUCCAGUAAUUUUUUUAAAAGUCCAACGCCUAUUUAUAGAUGUAAAAGAAUAGAGAGUUAAGUGUUAUCCUAAUUUUGUUCCAGAAACUGUUGAUUUUAUCCAUAUUGCAAACCACCACAAUUUCUUACUGGCGAGAGAUCCUGGGGGACCUAGCUCUUAGCCAGGGUUGUUUCCUUGAAUUUUAUUGUAUACUUGUUUAUGUAAACUACUUAGUGGGUUUUUUUUAAAAGAAAUGAAACAGUAUAUAAAUCUUGCUAAUUGAAAAUAUAUAGAAUACAAAAGAUGCAAGAGCAUAAAAUAACACAUACGAUCAAAGAAAGUACAAACACCCUGAAGAAAUGGAAGCAAUGAGAAAGUCUUACCAGUUCAGCUUGGGAAGUGAUGAACAUGUUUGCAUUAACCAGCCAACAAAAUGAGUCUUUAAAAGGUCUAAUCUCUUUUUUAAAUUAUGCAGCAGCUACAUUAGCUCAUCCAUAUUAGAGUGUCAGCUUUCAUAUCCAAUAACAUCAUUUCAUCAUUAUUAAUUUGUUCUGUGUAUCUGAGAUAAGCAUGUUUGACAUUCUUUAAAUGUGUUCCUCUUUUUAGUGUUUACAUUUUGUUUUGAUAGGCAGAGAUUCGGCCCUCCCCCCCCAAAAAAAUGUAAUGAAUGUAACGAAGCAUAUGUAUUCAAAUGAAAGCAAAGUGAUUACUAGACCUGUUUUUAAAAAAUCAGAUAGAACUCUUUUCCAUCGCAUAACGGACAUCACUUUUUAUGCAUAGUAAUAACAUUCAAGUUCUGUGACAUAUAUUUGAAUUACUGCACUCUCAAAUAACUUUAAUGAGAUCCUGGGACUCUACUAAAAUAAAGAUAGUUUCCUUUGGAGUUACACAAAUUAGAGUAUUUUGAAGUUUAAGAUGGUAGAUAACAGUUAAAUAGGUAAUAUCUAAACACUGUCUUUGGACAUUAAUUAACCUCAGAACAAUUCUGGCUCUAUUUUUUUUUUAAUAAAAAAAUAUAUAUUCUAUUAUUAGAAAUGUUGAAUGUUGUAUAUCACUUUUUCUGUGAUAAGAACCCAAACUUGCAAUAACAACAUUAAAAUGACUUUAAAAAUGACUACACAAACAAACAUAUCAAACAAUCAGCACCACAAAACACACACCCCUCCCCAAUUUAUGUCCUUCAUUCUGGUCCUCAGAUAGUUAUAUAACAGUGCAGUCCUAUACAUGUUUUCACUUGUCAGCCAUGGCCAAAACUGGCCCUCCAGCUGUUGUGGGACUACAACUCCUAUCAUCCCUAGCUAACAGGACCAGUGGUCAGGGAUGAUGAGAACUGUAGUCCCAAAACAGCUGGAGGGCCAAGUUUGGCCAUGCCUGACUUAAGUAUUAUCUAUUGACUUCAAUGGGACUUGCAUCCAGGCAAGAUGUAGGGCACUCUCAUCAUCCCUGACCAUUAGUUAUGCUUGUUAGGGCUGAUGGGAGUUGUAGUUCCCCAGCCCUGGAGGUCCCCCAGCCCCGGUGUAUAGGGAUCCCAGCCUAAGGCACUUUAUUUAUUGCCCUGCAUUGAUAAAAUAACCGCCAUUAGCUGCUCACUUGAAAUCCAGGCUCAAUUCGCAAUCAUAUAUUGCUUUCCACAGUAUUUUUUCAGAUGGGUCACAUAUGUAUAUUUCUACCCAAGAUUUGCAAAGCUACAAAUGUUCAUAUGGGGGGGGGGGGGGUUUGCUGUUUAGUUGUUUAGUCAUGUCCAACUCUUCGUGACCCCAUGGACCAGAGCAUGCCAGGCACUCCUGUCUUCCUCUGCCUCUUGCAGUUUGGUCAAACUCUUCUUGGUAGCUUCGAGGAGGUGAUGGGCACAGUGGCCAUGAUCUUAGUUUUUUUGAGAUCCUUCAUGGAUCACUGCCUUGUCAUGGCGAUGGGGCUUGAACAACUCAGAGAAGCUAUGAGCUAUGCCAUGCAGGGCCACCCAAAUGGACAGGUCAUAGUGGAGAGUUUUGAGUAAACGUGAUACACCUGGAGCAGGAACCGGCAAGCCACUCCAGUAUCCCUGCCAAGAAGAAAGACAACAGGCAUAUAUUGGAGGGUGGGACCCCCCCAAAACUGUUCACCAAGGACUGAGCAUGCUCUUCAGGUUGGUAGGCUGUGUAUGUGAAAUGAGGGUGUGGCAGGUUGGAAAAGGAAUCAUGUAAAGGAACAUUCCAUACCGCAACAUUUUCCUUUUUUCUUUUUUGCAGGUCCCGCAUGUACUAGGAUCCUAAGCCAAGUCCUCAAUUUUAUUAAAGUGCUCUUUUUUUAAUGCAAGCUUGACUAACCAGGGUGUUUCCGCUUCUUGCUGUAGGUAAUUAUACUCAAAAUGUUCAAGUGUAUUUCUAUUUUUGUCAAAACGACAUGGUUUGCUAGAGGAGUCUUGCCCAUUAAAGUUACACCUGUCAUUCUAACCGCUCGCUGCCAAGGAAGAUUGACAAAAAAUACCCUCUACGGCCUGUCAGAAUGGAAAAAAAAGUGGGGAGGGUGAAAGUAAUGAAGCUAAUAUGGAAUAGUGAUUAAUCCUGCAUAUGGAGUCAACCAGUGGUGAAUAGGGAUUAGUCGGGAACACAUGGCAACAUAUUUGGAGUAUGAACCAGAGAGUAACACAUAUAUCAUCAUAAGCUCUUUCAUUUAAUGUUAUUUUUUCUGACAAAUAUGCAGAGGGGCUGUGGGGUUUUAUUCUCAGCAGGUGGGGGGAAGAAUAAACAGAAGUUCAUUCUCCUGUGUCAGAUAGCUGCAAGGAUGGAAUCGAGGUGUGUUGAUUCAGUGAGAUCCAUAGGUCUCUUUGGAGGGUUAUGGGCAUGUCUAGAAGCCAGCAACUAGGGCUCUGCUAUUUUGCUGGCUGGCUGGAUAUGAAAUGUAUUUAAGGCACUCUGGUCUCACCAACCUAGAACUAUAUGACAUAGCAGUGAGGGCAUUGACAGGGAAAACUCUCUAUUCACCUUCAAGGUGUGGCUCAGCCUACAACUUCCAGCAGAGUGGCUUGCCCGAGACAGUCCAGUUAGAUUUAGCCCGUGUAUAUUUCUGUGCCUCAUUUCUUUAUUACCUACUCCACCUGCAAAGUGGAGAAGACCACAGCAGAGAUUUAGAACUCUAGGUUACGCCUCUGAGCUAUGAUGUCAUCAUUGCGCACCAAAGUCUAAUAGGCUUCAUCUGGACCCCAGAUGGUGGUGAUGAUUAGUUUGAUUUGUUGGCUGUUUUCCUCGCAAAAGAGACCCAAAGCAACUUACAUUACAGCCAAUUUAAAAUAAGCGCAACCGAUAAAAGUCAAAAACCACAUCUAUACAGAUACAAAGUUGGCUCUUACAGAUCACAUGCCAUCAAAAGAGGCCGGAAAUCCUGCAAUUUAAGGCCCAAAACCCUGGCCAAAGAGGAAAAUAUUUGUCUAAAAAUAGAUAAAAGUGGGUACAUUGAUAAGGGGCCUCAGAUGAUGAUUGCAGAGUUCAGAUGGGUUUGUGUGAGGAUAAGCACUGGAACUGCAGGUAUUAGCAAAGCAGAUUGGUGGUGCUAAUAUUGGCACGUUUGAACCAUGACAUACUAUAGUUCAUUUUAAUGCAUUAUAAUUAAGCAUCUGCUAUCAUGCCUCGCCCUUUCUCUUUCUGUGUGUACUCUGUGCCGAAUCUGGUGGAUUUCCCCUUCUGUACAUUGCAGUAUUUAAUUCCACAUUAAAGACCUUCGUAGCUCAAAAGCCUAUGAAAAAGCCCUGUCAGUACAGAUAACUCUUGAGAUUAUUUGUUCCCUUAUAUCAUCGCCAAGACAUUUGGGAACUCUGCCACUAGUCUGCACGAAAGCAGCCUCUAACCCAUAUCGUGGGUUUUGUGGUUAGGGAGAGCAAAUUGCACAUAAUUACACUUUGGAAAUAAGCAGCUGUUGUUCAAUCUGUGAUUCCUCUGGUGUUUAGGCAUGUUUUGUGAUUCCGUGAUCUAGCGCCUCUUGCAAUCUCUCUCUCCCCCUUUAAAAACUGGACAGCAGUUGGAAAUCAUUGUGACUUAAUGAUAGAGUGCAGAGCAACAAUACACAAAGGGAAAUAUUGUUGAAGAAUGAUUUGAGUUUUUCCCGUUUUAAAAAAUGGGGAACAAAUGUAUGAUAGAACCUGUCGUCCAAAACAUGUGAAGGUACUCAAGUUGGAGAAGACUGGUGUUCAUGUCCACAGACCAAAUAGGGAAUCUACUUCUGAACAACCUCAAAAUGAGACUUAUUUUUGAAUAAUACAGUACUUCUGAACAGAGACAUGGGAGAUACCAAUGUACCACUUGUCAUUCAAACAACUUUACCGGAAUCCCUUUCCUACCUCCCUUUCUGAGAGACUCUAGAAGUUUCCCACUGAAUUCUGCCUGCCAAACGCUGAACAACUUUGCUUGUUUUUAUAUGCUGGCGCUUACGUCAGAAAUUUAAUUUGAAUUUGAGUGCCACAACGUUUUUAUAGCCCAUCAGAUCACCUUUUAUGCACUCUUAGGGUAAAUCAAUAAUUCCAUCACUUUUUUAUUUUUAAGAACAGCAUUUUAUGGACUUUAUGAAUUAUCUCUCAAUGAGCCACUAAAGCAGAAAUAUUAUAGGACAAUUAGAGCAAAAUGUGAGCAAUGACAAAUUAGAUGCAUUUGCAUGGCCCAUUAACUAGCAGCAACAAUCAUGUUAGGAUGACAGCUUCUGGGAUUCUCUAUUUAAUCUUCUCAUCAUUGGAGACAAUUAUUGGUACAUAUACACAGUGUAUGUAAAAGUGGUAAAAAUAAUAAAGCGUAUGCCAUUUCUGCACCUCACUUUAUGGCAACAGACGCAGUGAACUGGCAAUAUUAAAAGGAAUGGCCAAAAUUAAGGAGACUUAGUAAAAUACAGGAGAUCGUAUGGUAGGAUAUUUAAGCCAGACUGCCAUCUAGUGAAACUCUUUGGUGUACAGAAAUAGCCAGCACAUCCAGAAAGAAACAUUCUGCUUUAAAGAUUAAGAGUCUUCAAAAGUUUGUGGGACUGCAAUAAUUACAGUCCAGAAAAAAACAAAAUCCUGCUCACAACUAGGUCUCAUUGAAAUGAAAGGGAUUCAACAGCAUCAUCUUAUGUUAGGCUACGCAAGUCCCAUUGAGUUCAGGGACAUACUCCCAAGUAAGUGUGCAUAACAGCAUCACCCAAACUAUUGCCUGUCUGGCAUUUUGGACUACAGUCCCCAUCAUCCUUUAACAUAUAAUUCAUCUAAUUGACCCUGAAAUGAAAAUGCCUGUAUAUUAAUGAAGGUUAAAAAUGGAAAAAUAGAUAAACUGGGGAUUUUCCAAUGUUGUCGGGGUUUUUCCAAUGUUGUUUUCUAAAGGACUCUAAUCUCCUUAAUGGGUUCUAACUGUUGAUUGUUUUCUUCUCUGUGCUGAGAGGUGGUGAAGGUAUUGAGUUGCAAAUCUCCAUUUUGAAAGGGAGUUGCCUUUAGACUUUUGUCUCCCAAACUCUAUGGAGUGAUGAUGUAAAUGAAGCUCUUCUGAAGGGAGAGUCAACAGCCUAAGGCCAAUGAAGACUGGAAAGCAGGCUGUGGGGAGAGACAGACCUUUGCUUCUAGGUCUGUUUGGAUUCUUUCAUAUUUUCUAAGAUGCUGAGCCUGUGCUGGACAGCACAAGACCUUGUAUGGAUAUUUUGGGUGUAUCUUUAAUGCUUCUGUUUCAUUUUAAAGAGUUCUGCCAGUAAAAGUUUGAAUAAUAUUUUAAUGGGCCUGGACAAUGAUUUCUUCCAAAAACAGUCAGUUCCUAUGCUUCCUGUCACUUCAAGAGAGCCAAUGUGGUGUAGUGGUUAAGAGCGGUAGACUCGUAAUCUGGGGAACCAGGUUCGCGUCUCAGCUCCUCAACAUGCAGCUGCUGGGUGACCUUGGGCUAGUCACACUUCUUUGAAGUCUCUCAACUCCACUCACCUAACAGAGUGUUUGUUGUGGGGGAGGAAGGGAAAGGAGAAUGUUAGCCGCUUUGAGACUCCUUCGGGUAGUGAUAAAGCGGGAUAUCAAAUCCAAACUACUACUACUACUACUAUUCUUCUUCUUCUUCUUCUUCUUCUUCUUCUUCUUCUUCUUCUUCUUCUUCUUCUUCCUAACUGUGCAAUAUUAAUAUCUGCAACAUGCCCAUGAUGGCUGGGACUGUCAUCCAGGAAGGCACCGGUUUUUGGAAGGCUGGUUUAUAGAUUUGCAUGGUGCCUAAGUUAGUCACCAUAGCUUUCAAUGGGAACUGGUUAUGACUUUUGAUGAAUUGUCCCCUAUUUUGUAAUGUGCAAGCCAGCACAACUUGUAGCCCAGUAAGUCAAACCUGGUUCAGUACGACAGUCUAUUGGGGACUAAAUAAAAAAAACUAAAGUAGGUUUCAGCACCAGGUGGCACUGGUCCUCCUGAUGUUGUUGGACUCCCAUCAGCCCCAGACAACAUGAUCAGUAGUAUCUGGAGGACCGCAGUUUCACCACCCCUGGAUGAGUGGACUAUUGACACUAUUCAGAGGUAUUCCAGACAGCAACUUUGCCUUGAUGUAGCAUGAGAACAAGCAUGUUUUGUGACACAUAACCUACACACACACCUGAAGGGGAGUUUGCAAAACCAGCAUUCAUGUAAAACAACUCUGUGACUAUAAGAUGGUCUCUGAAACUCUGCUUAAACUCACUUUUGUCCUCUAUCUAAAAAUAAAGCAAUCAAUACUUCUUUUUUGGCAAGGCAUUUCUGGCAUUCACAAAGCUGUCAUUCCUCACAAAAUGAGGAUUGUGAAUAUAUCUCACAAAGCGAACAUCUCAAAAUAAACUGCAGAUAAGUUCCAACUAAUAAAGCAUUUUUCACCAGACAGGUUUUUUUGUUUUGUUUUGUUUAAUAAAGAAAGAUGCAAUAACCAUUAAGUAGAUGAUGACAAGUUAAGCGUAAGUUCUUUUCCAUCUCAUUUUUAAGAGGCACGGCAUAAGCUUUCUUGCGUGUCAAGACCCCGAGGUUUCCCCCUUAUGUUGAAUAAUCACACGUGGACACCAAAUAUUAGGUUAAUGGGCAAAAUUUAGGUCACAACUUUAUUGGUUACAGAAUGUGAGAGGUAUUGGCUUAGGCACUGGAAUUGACCUGACUAUAUCUGACUCCCACCCUCCUGCAGGAAGUCUCACAAGGGUUAACCACCUGUAGGGGGAGCCCUGCUGAUGUACAGCAACUCGGACCUCCCCCAGGGUCACCGGAAGGUCGUGCAAAGGCCCUAGCCACCACCCAGGCUUCAGACAGGAACCACGACCCCCAGAUUCCUUUAACAGAAUACCCUUUAAAAUGGAGAGGCAGGUGAUAGCCACACCUCCCCUCGCCCAAACCAGAUUUUACCAAUGCCUAACCACCAAACCUUACAAAAGUUGUGACGAUAGCUACGAGGUAGGUGGAAACCAAAUGACCAGUGCCAAUUUGCCAAGUGGAAAAAUUCCUACCAGGCCCCUCAAUGGUGAGGUCCAUAGCAAGGCCAAUAUGACAAUGCAUGAAAAAGAGGGUGGGAGAUCCACGGAAGCCUGAACAAUAAAGGAGAUUCCCACCCCCCAGCCGUGCGGCUGUUUAAAAAGGGGUAAGCCACGCCCCCGACCAACCGGAUUGGCUGGUCGGGGCCAUGAUGUGGCCAGGGACUCCCUGAUGACAUGGGGGCUUAGCCCCGCCCCAGCUGUGUGCGGAGGCCAAGUGGCCUGACCGCAACACCGCCCCACCUGGAAGUGGAGCAGCCUUAUUAGGAGAAAAGGUGAAAGUUGCCUGUCCCCCUUCCAUCAGUGAGAGUGUAACAUAAACAUAAACUCCAUUCACAGGAUGCCCCACAAGCAGGCACAGAAUUGGGAUCUAGGCCAUAUCAGCAGAAAUCUCACAGACACCUUUCCUAAAGCAACUUUCCACACAAAGACUUUUCAAGGAAAUAUAAAAGAAUUAACAAGGAGUCUGGAUAAAUUACUCAGGGGGUUUCAUGCACACAUCCCCGUGCUGUCGUCAGGUUUUAUCCAGAGCAAAACUCAAGGCAAAUUAGGAGCUUCCUUGUCAGGGGGGAGAAAAAAACCCACGAAACAAUUUUGGGAGAACAGCCCAAAGAAUUACAGUAAGAUUACAGAACUUUCUGGCGAUAGGAUAAUAUGUCUCUCUUACUCAUAAAUUCAUUUGAAAAUACUUUGGGCGAAAUUAUUUUUCUGACAUAGAGGUAAUAGAUCUUUAUAUGCAGCAAAUAACUGCCAUAUUUUUCGCUCUAUAAGACACACCAGACCACAAGAUGCACCUAGUUUUUGGAGGAGGAAAACAAGAAAAAAAAAUAUUCUGAAUCUCAGAAGCCAGAACAGCAAGAGGGAUCACUAUGCAGUGAAAGCAGCAAUCCCUCUUGCUGUUCUGGCUUCUGGGAUAGCUGUGCAGCCUGCAUUCGCUCCAUAAGACGCACGCACAUUUCCCCUUACUUUUUAGGAGGGAAAAAGUGAGUCUUAUAGAGCAAAAAAUAUGGUAAAUGCUAACACUGUCCCCAUCCAGCCAUGAAACACACAUGGAUGGCUGUAGGCGAGUAAUUCACUCUCUCAGUCUAACCUACAUCCCAGGUGGUUGAUGUAUGGACAUACUGGCGAAGGGAGCAUGUUUGUUUUCCUGAGCUCCUUGGAAGAAAGAUGGACUACAAAUGCAAUAAAUAAGUAAAUAAGUGUGUGUGUGUGUGUGUGUGUGUGUGUGUGUGUGUGUAAAAAACUCCCUUCAGCUAAAUAGCUCCCAGGGCAGUGCACAAUAAAAUACUCUAGAUGAGGGAUGGAGAACCUAUAGCCUUCCAGAUGUUGCUGAACUACAGCUCAGAUCAUCCCUGUCCAUUGACCAUGCUAGCUGGGGCUGAUGCUGAUGGAAGGCCACAAGGUCCUCACCACUCCUAUAAGCAAAUGAAUAGACUUCAAAAUCUCUCCUAAAAACAAGCAUCACUCGGGUUUUAUCCCUUUCAUUCUCAAUGGCUUAACUUGGAGUCUCUAUUUCUAUGUCCAAGCACGAUCCAAGAUGGGAUGACAAUUUUCUACUCAUGUGACCAAUCUGUAGAAGAAGUGGCAAUACGAACCAGAUUUCCUGGCUCCCCGUCUCGUAUUUAUAAUUAUCUAUUUUGACAGUGACUGUAACUUCGUGCUCAGUCGGUUUUCAAAACAGGAUAAUUGCAACACUGAAACAUUACUCUUUUUUUUUUUUUUUUUUUGAAGCCCAAAGCAUUUGCUGUAGUUGCUCAUGCUUGUAAUGUACUUGUUAAGCUAUGUGGAAAGAAAAAUACUUCUUAGCACUGUUAGUUCCCACCCACCUACCAGAAAUAUCAAUGAUAUUGAUGAGCCAUUAAUUUCUCAAUAAAAUUGGUGCAAGGAGACAAUAUGAAGUUGUAUAUACUUGGCUCAUAUUUGCUGUUUUGUCUUGCCCUUUUCACCAUAUGGACAUUGCAAGACACCUCUGCUUCAUCAGUGCUUUGUUCUUUGCAAAUGUAAUGGCCCAUCACUCAGCCUUUAUCUAUGAUACAAUUGUAAGGUGGCCAAAAUGCAGAAAGCCUUGCUGACGUUUGUCACAGAACUCCAUAUGGCGGCUUAGCCGCUAGGUCCUUUAAUCGUGUCUGAUGGUGUUGCCUUCAAAGAAAGCUGAGCAAAGCUAAACAGGAGGCUUGUUUUCUUAUCCCGCAUGUUUGAUAACAAAGGAUCCAUCUCACUGCAGGAUAGGAUGUCGGCUGCUCACAGAGAAACCAACACCGCUGAAGGACAAAUGCAUUGUAUGCUCUGGUCCAAGCAAAUAAGAAUGGCAGAGGGGCCCAGUGAUAAGAUCUGAGGUUGAGGUUCACCUAGAAUAAUUACCAAGGCUAUCCAAUAUUUAAACAUACUCUGUUGAUUUGUCAGGCCCUCGUGACAUGUGGCAAGCUGUUAUUGAGACAAAGGAGUUCAAAAGAAACACAUACAGCACAGGAGUCGGCUAUUCAAUGAGUUGGGAGAGGGAAAUCUCACCGAGCUAGCAAAAGUGCCUUGGGUGAGUUUUUUUCCAUCCUGGCCAGUAUAUUGCCUCAGGAUUCUUCCCACAACAAACCAACCCACAGGUUGCUCCUCAGAUUGAAGGUGUCUGGCCCACAUAUGUGACGUGUAACGUCAUGCACAUCUCCUGACAUCAUGCAGGCUGGUGCAGCCUUCCACCAGGCCAUGCCAGUCCCUGCAGUGUUGGGAGACAUGGCACAGGCCAAUGCAAUCUUGUGCAAGGCAUGCUAGUCCCCACGGUGUCUUCCAACACCCCACAGGCUGGUGCAGCCUUCCUUUAGCUGUGGGAAGGUCUGGCGGGGCCAGCCACUUCUGCAGGUAGGUCCAGCAGGGCCCACUACAAGCCACAGGAAGGCCUAACCAUAGACUGUGGAAUAUUGAGGGGGGCCACCACCCUCCUUGAAUUUUUUGGGGGGAUCCUUGGCCCCACCAAGAUGGCCACCCUGAGCCACCCUACUUUUCCCAGACCACAUGCCUCACUGGCCUUGCUGUGCACCUUCUUUAAGUGUCUGAAAUAAAUCCUUAAGCUCUGAUAAUGCCUUUUGCUUGCUUGAAUAGAGGAUCAGGGGGUGUAGAAAUCAGCCCAUUGUAGAAAGGUGCUUUCAUUCUUCCACCCCACUUUUGCCUCUGACCCCACACAGCAACUGCACGUGGUCCCCAGAAUGUGUCCCAGGAAGAAAUGCUGGAAAAGGUCCCCCACAAAGGUCCCCCCCCCCCGCAUCAGACAUGACUAAAAGUCUUGGUAACCUUACGAGGAACAUUCUUCAUAAGAAUUCCAUAUCCGCUUCUUCAUCACCUCUUUUACUAAUUUCAAUAUAAUUGCCUGGUUUAUGACUUCUUGAAUACUGCACCUCAAGGAAUAAGCAGAGGUCUGGCCAUGCCUUUUCUUGUACUUCUUGCUUGAGAGCAUAAGAAAUACUUAAGAGUGGUUAGCAAUUAUGUUUCCCAUCAGAUUUCUACAGAUCAUUAAACCUGGGAUUUUGUAGGGCAAAAUAAUUAGUGCAAGGAAGAAAGCAAGGAUAACCUGUUCUUUUUUUUCUUUUUUUCACAAAGAGAGAAGGUGGAUGUGGUUGCAUGACGAAUGGCUCCCCCACAGUUGAAUAACCUACUGGAAGGGGAAGAACCCCAUAACUUACUAAGCAACUAUUAAAAGUUGGCAUAAGUUACUCCUAUUCCAAACGCCACUCAGGAAGACUGUGACAUACAGCAUUCUUCUUGCCAGUUAAGUUCUGCUGCGUUGCUAGGUCAUAUGACAGAACUGAAAAGGGUUUGGAAUAGGUUUAAAUCUCUGCUUACCCUGCCCUGUUUCCCACAACAUCCCAGUAAUUAUUAAGUAGAGGGCAAAAAUCACCGAAAUAGUUUCAUUGUGGAAUAGGACUCAGUUGGCAUUUAUGUUGCUAUGUUGUUGACUGUGUGGGUAAGCUAAAUAUUGAGCUGUUUCCAUUCUGCUGCAGUUUGGUUUCUGCCAAAUACUAGGUCAUUCAUCUCGCUGUCUGCUAUUUAACACAAUUUAUGUAAUUAUUUACAUAAUUUAUCUGAAUGGUAACUUUGACACAAUCAAUGAUGUCAUUAUUUCCACACGAUUAAUUUCAACGUGAAGGAAAUAUCAAUGUUAAAAAGUCAUUAAUUAAGUAUUGCAUGGGGGCUUCAAAAAAAAGGAACAAACCCAACGAUGUCAUGAGGAAAUACUGAUCAUAUUUGCUGAAUUGACUUUUGCACCAGACCUUUGGUGAAAACAGCAGCAAUUUCAUUGAAAUUCUUCAGCAUUCACACUAAUUCAUUUUGAGGAAGCUGUAGUGACAAAACAAACAAACAAACAACAACACACCAAUUAAACUUGGGUUGAUGAAGAGCUAGCUUCAAAGAAGAGAGCAUUGGGAAUAAUGCAACAAAACAAGGCCAUUGUUGGCACCCAAAAGUUCAGAUCCCCACUUUCUCCUACAUCUAUAACUUUGGCACACAUUCAUACUCCCUGACCACUCAGACUGUUUGUGAAUAUUUUAUGACAUUGCAACAGAUCACAGCUGCCUGAUGGUUUUUAAUUUACUGUAUAUGAAAAGCAUUCUCAAGGAGCUACAUGAAAGGUACUUAAAUAAAUUGAAUCAGCUGAACCCUGCAGACCUUUUCUGUAUUAUCCAGAAGAAGCAAAGCACUGAGCUAAAAGCAUUCAGCAUGCAGGCCUCUUAAGAUUGUUUUAAAUAUAUAACUAAUUACACAUGAAUUUCCACAAUUAUCGAAGCAGAAUAAAUAUUUGCUGAUUUUCCUUGAGGAAAUGGAUGCUUUUUAAAAAUAAAAUAAAAUGCAAAGCAGGCCGAGAGGUUUGAUUAACCUAUUAAACUAAUCCAGAAGACUCAAAAGCCAGCACUACAACAAAUGCAUUAAACAUUAGUGUGUGGUAGACUUGCAAAACGUGCUUUUAGGUUCAUUUUCAAGCAGCUUUCAAAGGUAAUCCUGAUGCCUACAGUGCCAGAAGCGUUCUCUCAAGCAUGCUAUAAUAUAGAUUGUACCCACUUAACCUACAGACUAUAAAUGUCAACGGAAAACAUUUACUAAAGAUCUGUUACCCAUUCGGUAUCCAUUUGCUUGUGAUGACGCUCUAGACUCAGAGGUGUCUCCAUUCUUGUUUAAAACAUGUAACCGACGAUUUUCCUUUCAAAAGAAACAUUGUGAUGCUUGUGGAAAGCUUUCAGUUCUUCCUCCUACCCUAAGAUAUAUAUUAGGGCUUUUAAAGAGGUAAAUUGAGACAACAUUCCUACCUGCUGGAGGAAUCGGAAAUGCUCCUUGCAGGAGGGGAAACUUUCUGCGUGUUCAGACCCUUAAACCUCCCCCUUAAAUAAAUUCAGACAAGACUCAAAUUUUGCUCUGGUUUUUGGCAGAAUUUAGGCCACAACUUUAUUGAUUACAGAAAGUGACUGGUUGCAUAGGCUCUGGUUCGACUAGCUCCCUGCACCGUUGCAGGUAGCGCUGACCCAGGGCAACAGCAUAGGUCAGCCUAGGGUGAACAUCCGGAUAGGCGGAAAGCCAGGAACAGGCUAUGUCCACCAUCCAGAUGUCCCCCUGGACUCAGGCACGGGCACAACCUCCUCACAGGGUUGACCAAACCAUUGAGUCCCUGGAUUCCUUUAACAGAAUACCCUUCACAUAGGGAUGGCGAGAGCGUUCCCCCAUCCCUAUCUCCUGAACCAGAGCCUAUCCACAACCUUACAAGUUGUGAUGAUUUGCUAUGCAGAAGGCGAAACCCAAAUGGCACCAGCCAAUCAGUCAAGUGGGGAAAAUUCCUGCUGUGCCCCUGUCCCAAUGACAGACGACACAUGAUGGCAUAGCAAAGUCAAGUGUUCAGCCCUAAAGGUAGGGAGAGGUGGGCAGGUGUUCCGAUGCACGCGCUGAAAGAGGAAGCUCUGGGUCACGUGCAUAGGUAUAUAUAGGUCCCUUGAUCUGUUAUCCUGCGUCCCAUUGGCCUGAUUAAACCGUGCUUCAAGGGACCUACCAAUUGGGUGUUGUGGCUAUCCAAUCAUACCCACCCACAACACAGGGUUUGGUUGCCAGGUCUCUUUGAGGGAGGACCCAAUUAAUGUAGAUUCGGUCAAAAUUUGGUUGUUGAAUGUAAUCUGUUCCAGAAGCCCGUUUGGAUUCCGAAAUGUUUGACAAUUGAGGCGUGGCUUCCAAUUGGUUGCAGGACCUUCCUGCACUCAAGACGUCAGACAUUCAGCUUCCGAAAAACUUUCAAAAACCGGAGCAUUUACUUCUAGGUUUUCGGAAUUUGGGAGCCAAAACGUUCCAAAACGGAGGCAUUAGGGAUCCGAGGUUAGACUGGAAAUCCCUUUCUGUCUGUAAGGAUGCAGAAGGCCACAUGUGAAAGCCGGCCUCAAUUUGCUGCCCUCUCGCUCGUGUUUUGAGAGGGAUCAGACUUUGCUCUCUGAAGGCAGGAGAUUUCAGGGGAAGCAGAUUCCAUCUACAUGCUGGAGAAACGUGACAUAAGGUGCUUUAUAUGUCGGCCCAAUGAAUCUGCCUUGUCUGCUGUGACUGACAGCAGCUCUCCAGGGUUUCAGAAAGAUUUUUUUUUUCCUGGGUGCCCCUUAUUAACCAAGGCCUCUCUGAUAUUUUGGUUUGUGGGAUUCUUGCAAGGAGCAGAACUUGCAUCUCACAAGCCUCAAUGCAGCUACCACCCUCCAAACCCGCCAAAGGCCUUAUGGAUGGGGUCCCUGAUUAAGCCACAGUCAGAGGGAUGGCUAACACUGGUUCUGUUGAUUUCGAUAUUGCACUCAGUGGGUUCUACUCUGUAUAUUUAAUUACAUAUUUAAAUGCAUUUUUUCAGAUGUAACAGUAAGCAGAAAACAACUGGUGCCUCCAUGCCUAGUGCAAAAGGAGACUCGCUUUAUGGAAAUGGGGAACAUUUUUUUACAAUGUAACAACUGUGGAUAGGCCUUUAAAAAAAGAAGAAAAAGCCAAAGGCAGUUUCAUACUGUGCUUAAUUUUUCUUCAAUAUUUUGUUUUUGCAAGAAUUGGCUCACUCAUUCUCCUAUACUCCCUCCCCCCCCUUAGCAUUCUCAUAACCCUGGCAUGGAAUCCUCUUUCCUCUAGUGACAUUUCAUAUCUUAUUGUGUGUGUGUUUUGCAUUCAAUUAACUUCAACAUGCUUUUGCACUGCAGUGUGUGUGUGUUUUAAAAAAACCCUUGACAUGCAUUAUUAAUGUUACCUCAUCAAAGGCUCCUAGAGAGAUCUUUUUAUUUUUAAAGAAUAAGCAAUAGUUAUUGCAAUUUAAAUUGAGAUAGAAUGGACUGCGGGGGGGAGGGGGGAGGAGAGAGAGAUGAUUGCAAAGAAAUCCAGAGGCUAACUGCGUCAGGAAACAAAAGGCAAUUGUUCAUGGCAACUAAGAAUUCUGAAAUUCAAUUCUUUUCAUGGUGGGAAUCCAUGGUUUAAUUAAUGGCUACCAGUUAUCAUCUGCAAAGAGACAGGAUGGAUAAGCAUUUCAGGUAGUAGUUUCAAGACAAUGGCCUAUUCGUUUUCCUGCCCUGCUGUUCAGAAGCAAUGCUGAGCAGGUUAUUCAUGUGUACAAUCAUUAUAUAUGAAAAAACCACCAAUAUUUCUGUUUCAUCCUGCUGAGCAGGUUAUUCAUGUGUACAAUCAUUACACAUGGAACAACCACCAGUAUUUCUGUUUCAUCCAGAAAUGCCUGCCAUAGAUAAACAAAUCUCAGCCAAACAACCAUUUUGGUCAGAUGUGGUAUGUCUGAAAGGAAUAUAGGGUGAGAGAGAUUUUGAAAUCUCUUUAGAGCAGUUCAAUGAGUUGUUUAUGUUCAUGUAAAGCGUGUUCUCCUUCAUGGAGAGCACGUGUUGUGGUGGGGUCUGCUGAGCCACCCCUCUGUUACCAGGCAGGGUCUCUAAAGAUGGCCUGGGGCAGUGAUUGGUUCUUUGGGUUGCUGGGGUAAAAGUUAUGUUGCAAUUUUGGUGGGAGGGGUAAAAUGUUUAAAUACUCUGCACGCAGCCUGGAGCUUUCUCUUUGCUGCGUGCAACGGAUCACCCGCCCACCCGCCCUUGAGUAAGGGGUUGUUGCAUUGACCUUGCUAUGCCUGUCAUGGGGUCGUCUGCCGUUGGGGCAGGGACCUGGUAGGAAUUUUGUCCAUCUGGCUGAUUGGCUGGGCCAUUUGGUUUUUGCCUACUGCGUAGCAAAUCGUCACAACUUGUAAGGUUGUGGUUAGGCAUUGGUUAUAAAUUGGUGGAGGAGGGGUUAGGAUAGGCUGGGCCUGCCCCUCCAUGGUUGCUGCGGAAAGGGAAUUCCGUUAAAGGAAUCCUGGGGCUUGCCAUCUUUUCGUCCAAUCCAUGGAAUGGGACUAGGGCCGGCAAGCCUUCGGGGAGCAUGCGGAUGAGAAUUGAGGGUCUGUGACUCAGCUCCAUUUCUCCCCGACUUGCUUUCCCCCGCACUGUCUUUCGGUGGUGCCCGGAAGUCAGUUCUGUCCCCAGGCGGGGGGACAGAUAGUCUUAACCAAUGCCUAAACAACCACUCACGGUUUUGUAUUUAAAUAAAGUUGUGGCCAAAAUUAUGCCAAAAACCUCAAACAAAAAUUAAGUGUGUGUUGUGAGUUAUUUGGGGGGUGGCUUGGGGACAUUGACACGCAACUGAUGGCUAACAUGUGUAACCAAGUAUGCACACCUCAAGAAUGUGCACAUCAGCUGAGCAUGAAGAGAGAAUUGUGUCCAUUUCUCAGUCAGUAGUGGUUUUAGUUUCUUCACAAACUAAUUGUUGUGUGGAGAAUAGGGCAAGGGGAGAGGUUGCUCAAAGCUGUGGCAGGAAAUGAAAUGAUUUAACCAUUGCAGUCAAGGACCCCACACACUUCACAUUAAAACCUCAGACAGACCUGCAUGUACAUAGCGCGCAGCUUGACCCUUACAUGUUAAGACAGGUGUGUGGAAAGACUUGCAAGAGUUGUUGCAAGUAGCCAAAGAGGCCAUGGCAGCUUGAAACAAGAUUAGUCAUCACCCUUGUCGGUCACCAAUAUUAGCAGGCUGCUUAAUUUCAAUUCCAAUCUAUCACCCCGCUGUCUUCAUCAGCAGACUAGCAUUCGAGCAGGAAAAGUGCAUGAAAAUGGCAACAGGGAUGGCUAAGCACCAAUCUCAUGGACUUGAAUUCAGCAAGAAAAGAGAUGUUGUUGUUUAGUCGUAUAGUCAUGUCCGACACUUUGUGACCCCAUGGACCAGAGCACGCCAGGCACUCCUGUCUUCUACUGCCUCCCGCAAUUUGGUCAAACUCAUGUUAGUAGCUUCGAGAACACUGUCCAACCAUCUCGUCCUCUGUCGUCCCCUUCUCCUUGUGCCCUCCAUCUUUCCCAACAUCAGGGUCUUUUCCAGGAGUCUUCUCUUCUCAUGAGGUGGCCAAAGUAUUGGAGCCUCAGCUUCACGAUCUGUCCUUCCAGUGAGCACUCAGGGCUGAUUUCCUUAAGAAUGGAUACGUUUGAUCUUCUUGCAGUCCAUGGGACUCUCAAGAGUCUCCUCCAGCACCAUAAUUCAAAAGCAUCAAUUCUUCAGCGAUCAGCCUUCUUUAUG
This is a non-coding RNA of Podarcis lilfordi (Lilford's wall lizard), 18407 nucleotides long. The record is from the annotation of a GenBank genome assembly. Lineage: Eukaryota; Metazoa; Chordata; Lepidosauria; Squamata; Lacertidae.